This is an unclassified non-coding RNA of Cavia aperea (Brazilian guinea pig), 110 nucleotides long. Its record names the gene Vault. It matches the Rfam family "Vault RNA". Rfam says of the family: This family of RNAs are found as part of the enigmatic vault ribonucleoprotein complex. The complex consists of a major vault protein (MVP), two minor vault proteins (VPARP and TEP1), and several small untranslated RNA molecules. Lineage: Eukaryota; Metazoa; Chordata; Mammalia; Rodentia; Caviidae. The record is from Ensembl.
GGGCUGGCUUUAGCUCGGUGAUUCCUUCGAUGGUACUUACUUAACCAUCUGGUCUGGUGGCUUCCAUCAGUCCAGUGGUGUGAGAUCUGUGGGCACUCUCCAGCCCUUUA